CCUGCCCACUGAUAUAUUUAAAUUUUAAUGGCCGCGGUAUUUAUGACCGUGCAAAGGUAGCAUAAUCAUUAGUCUUUUAAUUGAGGGCUUGCAUGAAUGGUUGGACAAGAGAAAAACUGUCUUCUAAAAUAAGGAUUGAAUUUAACUUUUAAGUGAAAAGGCUUAAAUGGUUCAAAGGGACGAUAAGACCCUAUAAAGCUUUAUAAAGAAUAUAAAAUUUAGAUUAAUUUUAUUAUUAAAAGUUAAGAUUUAUAUCAUUAUUAAGUUGGGGCAACAAGAGUAUAAUUGAAAAUAACUGCUAGCUUAUUUAUACAAAUAUAAUUGUGUUAAGUUUUUAUGAUCCUUAUUUUAAAGAUUUUAAGACUAAGUUACUUUAGGGAUAACAGCGUUAUUUUUUUUGAGAGUUCUUAUCGAAAGAAAAGUUUGCGACCUCGAUGUUGAAUUAAAAUUUCUAUGUGGUGUAGUCAUUACAUAAGAGGGUCUGUUCGACCUUUAAUUUUUUACGUGAUCUGAGUU
RNAcentral lists this ribosomal RNA (516 nucleotides) under Allacanthos yawi. Its description in RNAcentral is "partial large subunit ribosomal RNA". It matches the Rfam family "Archaeal large subunit ribosomal RNA", at positions 1950 to 2680 of the family's 2987-position model. The record is from RNAcentral. Lineage: Eukaryota; Metazoa; Arthropoda; Malacostraca; Decapoda; Pseudothelphusidae.